RNAcentral lists this ribosomal RNA (401 nucleotides) under uncultured bacterium. RNAcentral describes it as "partial 16S ribosomal RNA". It matches the Rfam family "Archaeal small subunit ribosomal RNA", at positions 473 to 873 of the family's 1478-position model. The record is from RNAcentral.
AUACCGGCGGCUCGAGUGGUGGCCACUUUUAUUGGGCUUAAAGCGUUCGUAGCUGGGUUGUUAAGUCUCUUGGGAAAUCCGGCGGCUUAACCGUCGGGCGUCUAAGAGAUACUGGCAAUCUUGGAACCGGGAGAGGUGAGGGGUACUUCGGGGGUAGGAGUGAAAUCCUGUAAUCCUCGAGGGACCACCUGUGGCGAAGGCCCCUCACCAGAACGGCUUCGACAGUGAGGGACGAAAGCUGGGGGAGCAAACCGGAUUAGAUACCCGGGUAGGCCCAGCCGUAAACGAUGUGCGUUAGGUGUAUCGACGACCACGAGUCGUCGAGGUGCCGAAGGGAAACCGUGAAACGUACCGCCUGGGAAGUACGGUCGCAAGGCUGAAACUCAAAGGAAUUGGCGGGG